This 65-nucleotide transfer RNA is filed under the name Haematopinus tuberculatus. Its description in RNAcentral is "tRNA-Leu". Lineage: Eukaryota; Metazoa; Arthropoda; Insecta; Psocodea; Haematopinidae. The record is from RNAcentral.
AUUCUAGUGGCAGAUAAAGUGCAUUGAAUUUAAGCUUCAAACAUGAGAAUUAUUCUUCUAGAAUA